UGCAGUCGAACGAUGAUCCUGGAGCUUGCUCUGGGGGAUUAGUGGCGAACGGGUGAGUAACACGUGAGUAACCUGCCCUUGACUCUGGGAUAACCUCCGGAAACGGAAGCUAAUACCGGAUAUGACGCACGGAGGCAUCUCCUGUGCGUGGAAAGAAUUUCGGUCAAGGAUGGACUCGCGGCCUAUCAGGUAGUUGGUGAGGUAAUGGCUCACCAAGCCUACGACGGGUAGCCGGCCUGAGAGGGUGACCGGCCACACUGGGACUGAGACACGGCCCAGACUCCUACGGGAGGCAGCAGUGGGGAAUAUUGCACAAUGGGCGAAAGCCUGAUGCAGCAACGCCGCGUGAGGGACGACGGCCUUCGGGUUGUAAACCUCUUUUAGUAGGGAAGAAGCGAAAGUGACGGUACCUGCAGAAAAAGCACCGGCUAACUACGUGCCAGCAGCCGCGGUAAUACGUAGGGUGCAAGCGUUGUCCGGAAUUAUUGGGCGUAAAGAGCUCGUAGGCGGUUUGUCGCGUCUGCUGUGAAAUCCCGAGGCUCAACCUCGGGUCUGCAGUGGGUACGGGCAGACUAGAGUGCGGUAGGGGAGAAUGGAAUUCCUGGUGUAGCGGUGGAAUGCGCAGAUAUCAGGAGGAACACCGAUGGCGAAGGCAGUUCUCUGGGCCGUAACUGACGCUGAGGAGCGAAAGCGUGGGGAGCGAACAGGAUUAGAUACCCUGGUAGUCCACGCCGUAAACGUUGGGCGCUAGAUGUGGGGACCAUUCCACGGUUUCCGUGUCGCAGCUAACGCAUUAAGCGCCCCGCCUGGGG
RNAcentral lists this ribosomal RNA (812 nucleotides) under Leifsonia sp. HAP2-7_Pa. RNAcentral describes it as "bacterial SSU rRNA". It matches the Rfam family "Bacterial small subunit ribosomal RNA", at positions 56 to 878 of the family's 1533-position model. Lineage: Bacteria; Bacillati; Actinomycetota; Actinomycetes; Micrococcales; Microbacteriaceae. The record is from RNAcentral.